CAGCAGCCACGGUAAUACGUAGGUGGCAAGCGUUGUCCGGAAUUAUUGGGCGUAAAGGGCUCGCAGGCGGUUUCUUAAGUCUGAUGUGAAAGCCCCCGGCUCAACCGGGGAGGGUCAUUGGAAACUGGGAAACUUGAGUGCAGAAGAGGAGAGUGGAGUUCCACGUGUAGCGGUGAAAUGCGUAGAGAUGUGGAGGAACACCAGUGGCGAAGGCGACUCUCUGGUCUGUAACUGACGCUGAGGAGCGAAAGCGUGGGGAGCGAACAGGAUUAGAGACCCCAGUAGUCCCUGUCUCUUAUAC
RNAcentral lists this ribosomal RNA (301 nucleotides) under uncultured bacterium. RNAcentral describes it as "partial 16S ribosomal RNA". It matches the Rfam family "Bacterial small subunit ribosomal RNA", at positions 509 to 807 of the family's 1533-position model. The record is from RNAcentral.